This 254-nucleotide ribosomal RNA is filed under the name uncultured bacterium. Its description in RNAcentral is "partial 16S ribosomal RNA". It matches the Rfam family "Bacterial small subunit ribosomal RNA", at positions 524 to 776 of the family's 1533-position model. The record is from RNAcentral.
UACGUAGGGGGCUAGCGUUGUCCGGAAUCAUUGGGCGUAAAGCGCGUGUAGGCGGUCCGGUAAGUCCGCUGUGAAAGUCGGGGGCUCAACCCUCGAAUGCCGGUGGAUACUGUCGGGCUAGAGUGCGGAAGAGGCGAGUGGAAUUCCUGGUGUAGCGGUGAAAUGCGCAGAUAUCAGGAGGAACACCUAUUGCGAAGGCAGCUCGCUGGGGACGUAACUGACGCUGAGACGCGAAAGCGUGGGGAGCAAACAGG